GGCUCGUUAGCUCAGCGGUUAGAGCACCCAUUUAAUUUAUAAUAGUGGUGGUCGGGGGUUCAAAUCCCUCACGAGUCG
Molecule: transfer RNA, 78 nt
Filed under: Heliconius melpomene (postman butterfly)
Lineage: Eukaryota; Metazoa; Arthropoda; Insecta; Lepidoptera; Nymphalidae
Description: tRNA HMEL015578
Rfam family: tRNA
About the family: Transfer RNA (tRNA) molecules are approximately 80 nucleotides in length. Their secondary structure includes four short double-helical elements and three loops (D, anti-codon, and T loops).
Source: RNAcentral